GCAAAUUUUCGGAAAGCAUUUCGUACGCGCUGAAUACGAGUAUCAAAUACACAAAAUAAAGUUCGUUUGUAUAAAGAAAAAAUAUGGCGCUAACUCUUUUCCGCACGCUGCUAUUGGCUGUUGCCACAAUGGGUUUGGCGCAGGCGCGUCAUGUGCCUGGCAAAACGGUGGUAAAUUACGUUGUGACGUCAUCAUUGCCCACAAUAGGGGUUGCACGCAAAGCAGGCAGUUGCCAAAAUGACAACAACUACAACAACAAAAGCUGCAUCAUUAACAACAACAAUGCAAGUAGCAUCCUUGACGCUGGCAAGCAGCACGCAAACGCUGAGUAUCCAAGCCAAAGAGCAUUGAGCCUCGAGGACAACGGCAACGGCGACGCUUUGACUGUCAACAUCAGCACGCCGAAGAGUGUAGUUCAGAAUUGGAGUUCGGUGUGUCAGCAGCUCUGCGGAGCUGGCUUAGGCGGCCCGCCAUGUCUUGCCCACUGUGACAGCAGUGACAAGCCGUCGCUUCCAUCAUACUUUGCAGACAACAAAUACGAUAUAUGCAGGGACCUCUGCAAGCUACAGCUCGGUGAUGUUAGUUGCGACUGUCAGCUCGAAGAAGUAACGUUGAUUACCUUCUCCAACAUGACAUUCCAGUAUGAAUUACGUAACAUAGUGUGUGGCAGCUUCUGUGAGCAUGGCGGUACAACGCUGAUCGGUUGUAGCAGUUGCCAGAUGGAGGUCGAUAAAAGCAAGAUAUAUAGAUCGUCAGAUGAGAGCACGACACCAGACUGGAAGGAGCUGUGCGCCACUUUGUGCAAAACCGGCGAUGGCGGGUCACUGUGCAAUUGUGAUUUGGCGCCGUUUUUUUAGAAGUCUAGCAGAGCAGCGAAACGCUAUGCCAACCACACGGUCCACACACGUGCAAACAAAUUGAAAUUGAAAUUGAAAUGUGGACAGACACAGCUGUUUAUGCGCUCAAAUUUGUCACAUAGGAUGGCGGCAAGGCAUUGCAAGCGGAGAAGAUCUACGAAGCGUGCAAAAAAAUAAAGGAAAUUAAAAAAAAAAAAUCCAAAAAAAAAUUUAAAAAAUACUCAAUCCCUAUGCGAAUCAA
RNAcentral lists this unclassified non-coding RNA (1098 nucleotides) under Bactrocera latifrons. Its description in RNAcentral is "uncharacterized LOC108976821, transcript variant X1". Lineage: Eukaryota; Metazoa; Arthropoda; Insecta; Diptera; Tephritidae. The record is from RNAcentral.